RNAcentral lists this ribosomal RNA (459 nucleotides) under uncultured bacterium. RNAcentral's name for it is "partial 16S ribosomal RNA". It matches the Rfam family "Bacterial small subunit ribosomal RNA", at positions 338 to 795 of the family's 1533-position model. The record is from RNAcentral.
CCUACGGGAGGCAGCAGUGAGGAAUAUUGGUCAAUGGGCGGGAGCCUGAACCAGCCAAGCCGCGUGAGGGAAGAAGGUACAGCGUAUCGUAAACCUCUUUUGUCAGGGAACAAAGGCGGGGACUAGUCCCCGGAUGAGGGUACCUGAAGAAAAAGCAUCGGCUAACUCCGUGCCAGCAGCCGCGGUAAUACGGAGGAUGUGAGCGUUAUCCGGUUUUAUUGGGUUUAAAGGGUGCGCAGGCGGCCUGUUAAGUCAGCGGUAAAAGCCCGGGGCUCAACCCCGGCGAGCCGUUGAAACUGGGGGGCUUGAGUUGGAGAGAAGUACGCGGAAUGCGCGGUGUAGCGGUGAAAUGCUUAGAUAUCGCGAAGAACCCCGAUUGCGAAGGCAGCGUACCGGCUCCACACUGACGCUGAGGCACGAAAGCGUGGGUAUCGAACAGGAUUAGAUACCCUAGUAGUC